This 26-nucleotide non-coding RNA is filed under the name Cricetulus griseus (Chinese hamster). The record is from RNAcentral. Lineage: Eukaryota; Metazoa; Chordata; Mammalia; Rodentia; Cricetidae.
AGAGAGAGAGAAGACUGACCUGGAUA